ACGCUCGACACCUACGGAGGCAGCAGUGGGGAAUAUUGCACAAUGGGGGAAACCCUGAUGCAGCGACGCCGCGUGAGCGAAGAAGUAUUUCGGUAUGUAAAGCUCUAUCAGCAGGGAAGAAACUGACGGUACCUGACUAAGAAGCACCGGCUAAAUACGUGCCAGCAGCCACGGUAAUCUGAGCGGGCUGGCAAGGC
Molecule: ribosomal RNA, 197 nt
Filed under: uncultured bacterium
Lineage: Bacteria
Description: partial 16S ribosomal RNA
Rfam family: Bacterial small subunit ribosomal RNA
Source: RNAcentral